RNAcentral lists this long non-coding RNA (415 nucleotides) under Pan troglodytes (chimpanzee). RNAcentral describes it as "long non-coding RNA NONPTRT000363". The record is from RNAcentral. Lineage: Eukaryota; Metazoa; Chordata; Mammalia; Primates; Hominidae.
CCAGUUCCUAACAGGCCACAAACUUGGCCUGGUGUUUUGCUGGGAUUACAGCAAUCACUCGAUGGCGUGAGCCAUCGCGCCCGGCCAUGUAUGAUCUUUUAAGACCUGUCUCUCCCACUAUACUACAACUUCUAAGAGAUCCUGUUGCAAACCAGUUUCCCUGGGACCUGGUGCAAUACUUGGCACAUAGUAAGGUGCUCAAUAAAUGCUUGUUGAAGAAUAAAGGCAGAGAUCUAUCUUUCCAGCCACAUUUCCUUAAGCUUUCUUCUUCCCCCGCUUACCCUAUGAUGGGGAACCUCUAUCACAAUGGCCAAACCAGGCAUCCUAGGCCUUCUCCAAUGGUUUUUUACUUCUUUGGCAGGACCUUCAUCACUUUAUCCCAGGAAAUGCUGGUGCCCCUCUGGGAUUAGAUUCC